GGCCCCGUGGUGUAAUGGUUACACGUCUUCUAUCUGUAUAUUCGUCCCAUGAACCUUUAUGAGGAAGUUCCUUGUUCGAUUCAAGGCAAGGCCG
Mycena rosella is the source of this 94-nucleotide non-coding RNA. Lineage: Eukaryota; Fungi; Basidiomycota; Agaricomycetes; Agaricales; Mycenaceae. The record is from the annotation of a GenBank genome assembly.